AGUGAACGCUGGCGGUAGGCCUAACACAUGCAAGUCGAACGGCAGCACAGAGGAGCUUGCUCCUUGGGUGGCGAGUGGCGGACGGGUGAGGAAUACAUCGGAAUCUACUCUGUCGUGGGGGAUAACGUAGGGAAACUUACGCUAAUACCGCAUACGACCUGCGGGUGAAAGCAGGGGACCUUCGGGCCUUGCGCGAUCGAAUGAGCCGGUGUCGGAUUAGCUAGUUGGCGGGGUAAAGGCCCACCAAGGCGACGAUCCGUAGCUGGUCGGAGGGGAUGAGCAGCACCACUGGGACUGAGACACGGUCCAGACUCCUACGGGAGGCAGCAGUGGGGAAUAUUGGACAAUGGGCGCAAGCCUGAUCCAGCCAUACCGCGUGGGUGAAGAAGGCCUUCGGGUUGUAAAGCCCUUUUGUUGGGAAAGAAAUCCAUCUGGUUAAUACCCGGGUGGGAUGACGGUACCCAAAGAAUAAGCACCAGCUAACUUCGUGCCAGCCGCCGCAGUAA
This 506-nucleotide ribosomal RNA is filed under the name uncultured bacterium. Its description in RNAcentral is "partial 16S ribosomal RNA". It matches the Rfam family "Bacterial small subunit ribosomal RNA", at positions 29 to 523 of the family's 1533-position model. The record is from RNAcentral.